UGGGGAAUAUUGCACAAUGGGGGAAACCCUGAUGCAGCAACGCCGCGUGAGUGAUGAAGGUCUUCGGAUUGUAAAACUCUGUCUUCAGGGACGAUAAUGACGGUACCUGAGGAGGAAGCCACGGCUAACUACGUGCCAGCAGCCGCGGUAAUACGUAGGUGGCAAGCGUUGUCCGGAUUUACUGGGCGUAAAGGGAGCGUAGGUGGAUAUUUAAGUGGGAUGUGAAAUACUCGGGCUUAACCUGAGUGCUGCAUUCCAAACUGGAUAUCUAGAGUGCAGGAGAGGAAAGUAGAAUUCCUAGUGUAGCGGUGAAAUGCGUAGAGAUUAGGAAGAAUACCAGCGGCGAAGGCGACUUUCUGGACUGUAACUGACACUGAGGCUCGAAAGCGUGGGGAGCAAACAG
Molecule: ribosomal RNA, 403 nt
Filed under: uncultured bacterium
Lineage: Bacteria
Description: bacterial SSU rRNA
Rfam family: Bacterial small subunit ribosomal RNA
Source: RNAcentral